GGGCUGCGGUAAUUUGACCGUGCUAAGGUAGCAUAAUCAAUAGUCUUUUAAUUGAAGACUGGAAUGAAUGGUGUGACGAAAAGGAAGCUGUUUUAAAAAUAAAAAUUGAAUUUUACUUUUAAGUGAAAAGGCUUAAAUUACAUUAAGGGACGAUAAGACCCUAUAAAACUUAAUAUUAUUUAUUAACUUUUAUUAUAAGGUUGAGAUUUAGUUAAUUUAGUUUUAUUUAGUUGGGGCGACUAAGAUAUAAAAAGUAGCUGUUAAGAAUUAGAAAAAUAAAAUAAUUUGUUAAAAAAACCUUUAUUAAAGAUAAAAAUAAAGUUACUUUAGGGAUAACAGCGUGAUUUUUUCUGAGAGUUCUUAUCGAAGAAAGUAGUUGCGACCUCGAUGUUGAAUUAAAAUUUUUAAUAAGCGCAGCAGUUUAAAUAAUAGGUCUGUUCGACCUUAAAAAUUU
Molecule: ribosomal RNA, 454 nt
Filed under: Hippolyte catagrapha
Lineage: Eukaryota; Metazoa; Arthropoda; Malacostraca; Decapoda; Hippolytidae
Description: partial 16S ribosomal RNA
Rfam family: Bacterial large subunit ribosomal RNA
Source: RNAcentral